This 253-nucleotide ribosomal RNA is filed under the name uncultured bacterium. RNAcentral's name for it is "partial 16S ribosomal RNA". It matches the Rfam family "Bacterial small subunit ribosomal RNA", at positions 524 to 776 of the family's 1533-position model. The record is from RNAcentral.
UACGUAGGGUGCGAGCGUUAAUCGGAAUUACUGGGCGUAAAGGGUGCGCAGGUGGUUUUGCAAGACUGACGUGAAAGCCCCGGGCUCAACCUGGGAACGGCGUUAGUGACUGCAAGACUAGAGUGUGGCAGAGGGGGGUGGAAUUCCACGUGUAGCAGUGAAAUGCGUAGAGAUGUGGAGGAACACCGAUGGCGAAGGCAGCCCCCUGGGCUAACACUGACACUCAUGCACGAAAGCGUGGGGAGCAAACAGG